This is a long non-coding RNA of Solea solea (common sole), 1960 nucleotides long. RefSeq lists it as uncharacterized. The transcript is spliced from 4 exons. Lineage: Eukaryota; Metazoa; Chordata; Actinopteri; Pleuronectiformes; Soleidae. The record is from RefSeq and is a predicted model, not a curated record.
CAGGAAGUGUCACUAGUUGGCACGUAACAAAGAAAAGAAUGAAGACAUUUCUCCACUCAGGGGAAACUGAGCGCGAGCCGGUCAUCUAGACGUGUGGAUGAAAGGUAGAGCACACCUCGUGGAAACUGCUGAUCCAGGGGAAGUGUGUGUUCCUGUCUGCCAUGGCGAUCUCAUGCAGCCAAGUCACCCUAAACGGAGGUCAGCACACUGUGGGGACCACCCCAGCGAGAGAGGAGAGGAACAGGGUCAUGGCAGAAGUCCCUUCCUGUUUUGAGGGCUUGUCAGCCACCCAGCGGGAUGAUGAGGAUACCAUCCAGGACACUCUGGGGAGGACAUUAAAGACCCCGAGAUAAAGGCUUGUGUGCCAGUGUGUGGAUGCUUUGCCACCUGCGAGAAAUACACAAAUCCUUCACCGGGAGACCCUGCUGUGUAACCCCUGAACACCAAGAGCUUGACGAGGAGGAAGCAUCUGAGAUUGAGCUUCAAGCAUCAAGUCAGGCAGAAAACUAUCCGGUAAACCUCGCCAGGUCACGGAACCACGCUGGGAAUAUCACUGGAAGACGUAUAGCGAGAUGAAUCUGUUCCCUUUUUUUUGUUUUUUUAUUGUUUGUUUCACCACCGUGACCUCUCUGACACGAGGCUCGACUUCAGUUGAUGCGUUCAGCACAUGGUCGGUAACCUUACUCUCAGUUCAUCAAAUCUUUAAAAACCUCUGUUAGUGCAACUCGGUCGUGCAUUGUAGAUGAUGGAUGCUCCUCGAAUCACGCGCAUUUUUAUUCCAAGCCAACACUUUUAGCAACAUUAUUAUCAUGAAAGGCAAAGUGGAAGUGCUUGUCUUAAAUAACGCCCAUGUGACCUACUUCUAUUACUCCAGGCUGACAGCGCUUCAUUCAUACAGGCUGAGAAAGUCCCUGUAGUCUUGGGCCUAAGCACAUUACAUAUCCCGCUCUGUCUUCAACGGUUUCCUCCCGUUGCUUGAACGCUGUGUCUCAUGCACACCGCUCAGUCCAUCGCGAGGUACGAUAAUAGAGGUCUUCUGGAGAACCCUUUCCAAUGAAAAGCUGUCACGUUUGAGAAACCCUACAUUAAUAAAGCACAUAAUUGCAGAUUUUAUGAAGCCUUUCUCUGCCAAACGAACCUCAUUUUCCUCUCUCUCCCCAGGUCCUCACUUGCUGCCCAGUCUGAACAAUGUCGGUAUUAUGUUAGCCGGUGGGCAAAGAGUAAGCGGAGCCGAGGACUUUGAUGCAAACGGCAAAAAGGUAGCUAAUGAAGAGAUUGACGUCGACUCGCCAUUGAAACUUAUCACACAGAGACCGAUUCACACGGAUCACUUAAAAUUCUGCAAGCAGAGCUCGCAAUACACUGCCGAUACUUGUUUAAAAUGAGAGCCCUACAUUCUGCAUUCAGCGAUACUGUUUUGCUUUCUAAUGGGCGCACUUGAACUCUGACCCUUUCACUUUUGUGUGCGCACGGGGGGCGGGGGGGGACGAGGCAGGCACUCGUGGGUGAAUGGAUGCAAAUGUGCGCCCCUCCAUGCUUGACAGGUAAACAUGUAGUGCUGGUUCUGGUGAUAGAACUCAUUAGAAGGCAUGGAGUGUGUGUGUGGGUGUGUGUGCUCAGUAACUACAAAACAUGUGCCUCAUAGUAACACGCUAAACCCCAGUGAGGAAGUGGUGCUAUUGAAAGCGCUGAAUAGUUUGGAGACUUAUCAAAUCCACCUUGAGCUUUCUUCCUGAAACACACACACACACAUUCGCAGGCUGUAAUGCGUCAGGGUAAUUACAGGACUUGGAUGUUGUUGCUAUUACCGUGCUCGUGUAAUGCAAUUAUAACUCCGCUUUACGUUUGAAUGACGAUAGGAGUGGCCGGGGGUUGUCGUUUUCAAAGGAACCUUUGUGUCGAAGCGUCGGUCACAGCCGGAAAACGUCCUCCUGUAUUGAUGGAGAUCCACUCUCAUCAU